UACGUAGGGGGCAAGCGUUGUCCGGAUUUACUGGGCGUAAAGAGCGUGUAGGCGGCCACGCAGGUCCGUUGUGAAAACUGGAGGCUCAACCUUCAGACGUCGACGGAAACCGUGUGGCUAGAGUCCGGAAGAGGAGAGUGGAAUUCCUGGUGUAGCGGUGAAAUGCGCAGAUAUCAGGAAGAACACCGAUGGCGAAGGCAGCCUCCUGGGCCAACACUGACGCUCAUGCACGAAAGCGUGGGGAGCAAACAGG
RNAcentral lists this ribosomal RNA (253 nucleotides) under uncultured bacterium. Its description in RNAcentral is "partial 16S ribosomal RNA". It matches the Rfam family "Bacterial small subunit ribosomal RNA", at positions 524 to 776 of the family's 1533-position model. The record is from RNAcentral.